UGAGCCAUGAUCAAACUCUAUACGGGAGGCAGCAGUGGGGAAUAUUGCACAAUGGGCGCAAGCCUGAUGCAGCCAUGCCGCGUGUAUGAAGAAGGCCUUCGGGUUGUAAAGUACUUUCAGCGGGGAGGAAGGCGGUGGAGUUAAUAACUUCACCGAUUGACGUUACCCGCAGAAGAAGCACCGGCUAACUCCGUGCCAGCAGCCGCGGAAUACGGAGGGGCAAGCGUUAAUCGGAAUUACUGGGCGUAAAGCGCACGCAGGCGGUCUGUCAAGUCGGAUGUGAAAUCCCCGGGCUUAACCUGGGAACUGCAUUCGAAACUGGCAGGCUAGAGUCUUGUAGAGGGGGUAGAAUUCAGGUGUAGCGGUGAAAUGCGUAGAGAUCUGGAGGAUACCGGUGGCGAAGGCGGCCCCUGGACAAGACUGACGCUCAGGUGCGAAGCGUGGGGAGCAACAGGAUAGAUACCUGGUAGUCACGCCGUAACGAUGCGACUUGGAGGUGUUCCUUGAGG
This 509-nucleotide ribosomal RNA is filed under the name Erwinia persicina. Its description in RNAcentral is "bacterial SSU rRNA". It matches the Rfam family "Bacterial small subunit ribosomal RNA", at positions 320 to 839 of the family's 1533-position model. Lineage: Bacteria; Pseudomonadati; Pseudomonadota; Gammaproteobacteria; Enterobacterales; Erwiniaceae. The record is from RNAcentral.